UCAACUUUGGGGCAGUAGGUAGCGUGUCAGUCUCGCAAGCUGAAGAUCCCAGUUCGAUCCUUGGAAGAAGGG
This 72-nucleotide transfer RNA is filed under the name Monodelphis domestica (gray short-tailed opossum). It matches the Rfam family "tRNA". From Rfam's summary of the family: Transfer RNA (tRNA) molecules are approximately 80 nucleotides in length. Their secondary structure includes four short double-helical elements and three loops (D, anti-codon, and T loops). Further hydrogen bonds mediate the characteristic L-shaped molecular structure. tRNAs have two regions of fundamental functional importance: the anti-codon, which is responsible for specific mRNA codon recognition, and the 3' end, to which the tRNAs corresponding amino acid is attached (by aminoacyl-tRNA synthetases). tRNAs cope with the degeneracy of the genetic code in two manners: having more than one tRNA (with a specific anti-codon) for a particular amino acid; and 'wobble' base-pairing, i.e. permitting non-standard base-pairing at the 3rd anti-codon position. Lineage: Eukaryota; Metazoa; Chordata; Mammalia; Didelphimorphia; Didelphidae. The record is from Rfam by way of RNAcentral.